AGUCCUCACACUUUAUUUCGAGUCUUUCAGGCACCAGCGGCUGUGGGAGUUCACUUUCUUCCUCAUUUCUUAAUUUCUUAAUUAAGUUCAACAAUGCCUCCUAAAGCUCGCUCACAUGUUUGGGAAUAUUUUUCGGUAGUUCAAGACAAUGAAGAAAGGCGUAAAGUAAGGUGCUUGACAUGUGGUAUAAUACUUAAAUAUAAUUCAAGAGCGAAUGGUACAGGUUCCUUGAUGAAACAUAUUGGGAAAUGUCUUGAGCGUCAACAAGAGAGGCAAAUUCGCCUUCAAAUUUGAGCUUACGUUUUCAAUUUGGUGAAUUUCGGACCAAAUUGUGAUUGCUAGUGUUGUGUUAAGACAAUGGAUUUAAGACUUAGUUUGUGACAACUAAUUUUUUGUAUUUGGAGCUAAAUUUUAAGACAUUUAUGUUGUUUAUUUA
Molecule: long non-coding RNA, 436 nt
Organism: Lycium ferocissimum
Lineage: Eukaryota; Viridiplantae; Streptophyta; Magnoliopsida; Solanales; Solanaceae
Exons: 2
Source: RefSeq, a predicted model, not a curated record